Penaeus vannamei (Pacific white shrimp) is the source of this 351-nucleotide long non-coding RNA. RefSeq lists it as uncharacterized. The record is from RefSeq and is a predicted model, not a curated record. Lineage: Eukaryota; Metazoa; Arthropoda; Malacostraca; Decapoda; Penaeidae.
GAAGAAUCUGACCUGGCCUGACCUCAGCGCAACGCCUAUUGUGGUUCCGUCGGGAGAGAACUUGCACGAGAGGACGUCGCUGCCACAGUCUCUGCAAUGCAGUGAGAGGCUCGUGGACGGAGGCUGGUGAAGCUUCGUGAGCAGUGAAGCCAACGAAGCCCCUGAAGCCACGGAGGAAGCGAUGGACACCUUUCUCUUGCCAGUCGGAGAGCCGGGUCUGCGGAAGGGCGAAGGAGUGGGGAAUGCUCCCUCUACAACGCCACGCUGCCUUCACACUCACCCAGGGGCGGGGGACCGGUGGGAGGGCGCCGCCUUAGGGGUGGGCGAGGACCCCCCCUGCAGGGAGAGGCC